Molecule: ribosomal RNA, 254 nt
Filed under: uncultured bacterium
Lineage: Bacteria
Description: partial 16S ribosomal RNA
Rfam family: Bacterial small subunit ribosomal RNA
Source: RNAcentral
UACGUAGGGGGCGAGCGUUGUCCGGAAUUAUUGGGCGUAAAGAGCGUGUAGGCGGUUCGGUAAGUCUGCCGUGAAAACCCGAGGCUUAACCUCGUGGCUUGCGGUGGAUACGGGCAGACUAGAGGUAGGUAGGGGAGAACGGAAUUCCCGGUGUAGCGGUGAAAUGCGCAGAUAUCGGGAGGAACACCGGUGGCGAAGGCGGUUCUCUGGGCCUUACCUGACGCUGAGGAGCGAAAGCAUGGGGAGCGAACAGG